Molecule: ribosomal RNA, 253 nt
Filed under: uncultured bacterium
Lineage: Bacteria
Description: partial 16S ribosomal RNA
Rfam family: Bacterial small subunit ribosomal RNA
Source: RNAcentral
UACGUAGGGUGCGAGCGUUAAUCGGAAUUACUGGGCGUAAAGCGUGCGCAGGCGGCUUUGCAAGACAGAUGUGAAAUCCCCGGGCUCAACCUGGGAACUGCAUAUGUGACUGCAAGGCUAGAGUACGGCAGAGGGGGAUGGAAUUCCGCGUGUAGCAGUGAAAUGCGUAGAUAUGCGGAGGAACACCAAUGGCGAAGGCAAUCCCCUGGGCCUGUACUGACGCUCAUGCACGAAAGCGUGGGGAGCAAACAGG